AUUGAACGCUGGCGGCAGGCCUAACACAUGCAAGUCGAGCGGAGCGGCGGACGGGUGAGUUAUGCCUAGGAAUCUGACUGGUCGUGGGGGAUAACGUUCGGAAACGGGAGCUAAUACCGCAUCCUAUCAGAUGAGCCUAGGUCGGAUUAGCAAGUUGUUGGGGUAAAGGCCUACCAAGGCGACGAUCCGUAUCUGGUCUGAGAGGAUGACCAGUCACACUGGAACUGAGACACGGUCCAGACUCCUACGGGAGGCAGCAGUGGGGAAGAUUGGACAAUGGGCGAAAGCCUGAUACAGCCAGGCCGCGUGUAUGAAGAAGGUCUUCGGAUUGUAAAGCACUUUAAGUUGGGAGGCGUUACCAGCAGAAUAAGCACCGGCUAACUUCGUGCCAGCAGCCGCGGUAAUAC
Molecule: ribosomal RNA, 407 nt
Filed under: uncultured bacterium
Lineage: Bacteria
Description: partial 16S ribosomal RNA
Rfam family: Bacterial small subunit ribosomal RNA
Source: RNAcentral